Long non-coding RNA from Cairina moschata (Muscovy duck), 3240 nucleotides. The record is from Ensembl. NCBI's taxonomy places the organism in Eukaryota, Metazoa, Chordata, Aves, Anseriformes, Anatidae.
AUGGACACAGAAAGUACAGCAAGUAGAAAAUCCUUUACUGAUGGCCUCCCCUCCCAUUUCCAAAUCUUUGGGGCUUUAUUGUUGCUGAUCGCAUACGCCAAGGAAAACCAAGCAUAUUUCCUGCUGGAAGGAGCUGCUAGUGCCUCACUGUCUGCCAAGCUGUGGGAUCUGUGCCCUCAGCAAUGCCAGUUCCCUGCCAUGAAAUGUCUUCGCUGCAACCUCCACCACCCAGCAGGAGCCAACGGGCUGUGGCUGCACCGUCUAUGGGUGUUUUUGUUCUUGAAUAAUUAAAGCCAUUUUACACCAAGGGUGAUCCAUAAAGGAAGGCAUUUUGCAUGUGAAAAGCUGUAAAGGGUGGAAGACGGUGGGGUAUCGGCAGUCAGCAGAGAGCAACUGAGACUGGUAAUGCUACAGUAAGCUGCCUCCUUUGUGCAGCUCUACAGGAUCAUGGAAAGAGGCCAAUUGCUGGAUUUCAGUGCUUUAUCUUGAUUAAAUGGCUGUUUCAAUUUGGUAUUCACUCCUUUCAUGUUUGUAAUCACUUUAAGAUUUUCAUUUUAUAGUAUUUGCUUAUUUAACUGCUUGUUUCCUGCCAAGUCUAAAAAAAGAAAGGCUUUUCCCUCCCUUCUCCUUUCACAGUUUCAAUAAAGGCAAGAGCUUACACAAAAUUACUUCUAUAUUUAAAGGUUGCUGAUGUAAAUCUCUGGUUGCUUUAAAUAGUCAAAGCUGAUAGCUGUGGCAGAGAAGUAUUAAAGCCCUGUGUGAGUGCCUCCCCUCCCCAGAUGCUCAGGAAGAUUUUGGGGAUUGCUCUGAUUCCUUUUUAGGUGUGUGCUGAAUGGUUUCUACCAUUAUUGUCCCCUUGGCAAAAGUAGUGAAAUGAUUUAGGAUCCUCUGACACAAAGGCAUUGAACUGUCUGAGAUACAAGUAUCAAAGGUCUAACAGGCAGCCUCUUGUGGCCAACCCUGACCUCACCUGUCCUAGCCCAAGGAAAACUCAGAGAUCACCACUAGGAAAGAUUCCUGCAUAUGCAAAUGUUAUCUCUCAGCUCACCUAGGAUGUAUUUUUAAGCCUAACAGCUAGGACCAGACCCAUGCAGCUCAUCUUGCCCCUCCCCAGAAUUGCACCAUGUUCUAAAAUGGGUUUAACUACUGCAUUUUGAGGACAAAUAGCGUUUGUAUUGCUAAGGGGCUAACUAGCUUGUGAAUCCAGUCUUAGAGAAACUUGUUAUGAAACACUUUUCCUUUCUUGUUCUGCACUGCUAACUGGUUUUAGUACAGAUAGGGAAGGGAAAGGCAGGCAGACAGGCCAAACAGUGCACUUGCAGGAAAAUGAAACUGGUCCACAAACUUGGCUGGGUGCAAAAAAUUACUGAAGGAGAAGGCAGAUGGGACACGGGCCUGCAGUAGGUAAUCCACAGGCAGUAGGGGUUAAUCCAGACAGUGGGGGUGCUAAAGAUUCCUGUUGCCUGCACUCAGUUGCAGAGCUGUAGUGUGGGUUUUACUAGACCAGUUCCUAGCAUAUGUGGAUAUGAGAGUCUACUAGGCUGGUGGGGAAGUGACUGCCCAAAGAAACUGAUGGUCUCAUGUUAGAUAUGCUGCUUGAUCAAAUAAGGGACAGAUAAUACAAAGAGAAAUUUAAAAUCUACAGAAAGAGUAGUCCAGCUAGAAAUGCUAGGGUCCAAGGGCUCCUUACAAUGUUUGGGUUUUUCCCUUUCAAAAAGCUGUAAUGCAUUUAUGGCCCUGGUGAUCUCUGAGAGCUGGCAAACUCUCCCAAUCCGUUGUAUGGAUUUUCUUUAGCCUUCUAAAUCUCAGUGAUAUGAAUCAAUCAUAUGUGAGCAGCUCUGUAAAAAUAUCACGUUCUUUCCGCUAUGUUUCACCCAUCAUUCCUGUCCUGGUUUCAGUUAGGAGAGAGUUAAUUUUCCUCCUAGUAGCUGGUAGGGUGCUACAUUUUAGAUUAGGAUGAGAAGAGUGCUGAUAACAUGCUGAUGUUUUAGUUGUUGCAUAGCAGUGCUUACACCAAGACAAGGACGUUUCAGCUUCUUGCUCUGACCAGCCAGCAGGCAGGCUGGGGAUGCAGCAAGAGCUGGGAGGGGACAGACCCAGCACAGCUGACCCAAACUGGCCACAGGGGUAUUCCAUACCAUCUGGGGUCAUGCUAAACAGUAUUUAGGGGUGGCUGACUGGGGUGGGGGGGCUGGCUGCUCAGGGUUAGGCUGGGCACAUUGGUCAGCGGGUGGUUAGCUAUUGCAUUGUGCAUCCCUUGUUUUGUAUUUUUAUCUAAUUAUUAUUAUUAUUAUUAUUAUUAUUAUUAUUAUUAUUAUUAUUAUUAUUAUUAUUAUUAUUAUUAUUACAUUAUCUGUGCUAAUAAACUGUCUUUAUCUCAACUCACAGGCUUCACUUUCCCAUUUCUCUUCCCCAUCCCAGAGAGGGAGGGGGGAGGGUGAGCGAACGGCUGUGUGGUGUUUAGCUGCCGGCCGGGUUAAACCACAACAAUUCCCUUCUCCGAUCAAUAGAAAAAAAGCCAAUUUCAAUCUUCAUUCAUAAUUGGUACAGAAAAAAAGUUUGAUGUUUGAAAAGAAAGUUUCCAUAAUUUCUCCAUAACCUCAACCCUCCCCCCAUUCCUCCAAAUACCCAGUUUCAGACCGGAUCUGGUAAUAAGAGAGGUCUGGCAAGAAGACACUGGUUCUCAUGAGGUUUCUGACAUCGCAGGAAACAUGACCAUCCUUGCCUUUUGUCAUAACUGAAAAGCCUCAUGGGAUGUGUUUGAGCAGAAAAACCUUCUGAGACUUGCAGAGUUGGAAGAGCUGAAUGGCCAAGCAAAAUCUUGACCAUUUCAGCAGCACAGUCACCUCUUGCUCAGAGGAGACAUCAUAUCUUCAUCUCCAUUUCACACAACUCAGCUCCCUGCCAGUUCUUUUCCAGUUCUGCAGAGUGGCAUAAGGCUUCAUUACAUCAGACCCCCAGGAAACUGUAACCUGUGCUUUAUACCAUGUGUAGGCUGCAGGGGUUGCCAGUGAGAAGAUAAAUGUUUAAAGAGUCUAUGGGAUUUGAAGGAUGUUUUGAUUUAGAGACAGAAGUUCUGGAUUUUCACGUCUCUUUCUGGCACUGCAAGCAACGCAAAAAGCAUAGACAUACUGUAGCAUCUCCAAAUCUGGGUGACCUCAGCGUCACUUGUAACCAUUAAUGAAUUCCCCAACCUUUCUGCACACCAGAGAUUUGACUUUGCUGUGAUUUUUGAGCCAG